This 440-nucleotide ribosomal RNA is filed under the name uncultured bacterium. RNAcentral describes it as "partial 16S ribosomal RNA". It matches the Rfam family "Bacterial small subunit ribosomal RNA", at positions 338 to 795 of the family's 1533-position model. The record is from RNAcentral.
CCUACGGGUGGCAGCAGUGGGGAAUAUUGCACAAUGGGGGAAACCCUGAUGCAGCGACGCCGCGUGAAGGAAGAAGUAUUUCGGUAUGUAAACUUCUAUCAGCAGGGAAGAAAAUGACGGUACCUGACUAAGAAGCCCCGUCUAACUACGUGCCAGCAGCCGCGGUAAUACGUAGGGGGCAAGCGUUAUCCGGAUUUACGGGGUGUAAAGGGGGCGUAGGCGGUGUAGCAAGUCAGAAGUGAAAGCCCGGGGCUCAACCCCAGGAUUGCUUUUGAAACUGGUGAACUAGAUUGCAGGAGAGGUAAGCGGAAUUCCUAGUGUAGCGGUGAAAUGCGUAGAUAUUAGGAGGAACCCCAGUGGCGAAGGCGGCUUACUGGACUGUAAAUGACGCUGAGGCUCGAAAGCGUGGGUAGCAAACAGGAUUAGAUACCCGGGUAGUC